RNA transcript from Strigops habroptila (Kakapo), 5860 nucleotides. It is a transcript of the gene named ring finger and SPRY domain containing 1, with no coding region annotated. The transcript has 17 exons. The record is from RefSeq and is a predicted model, not a curated record. NCBI's taxonomy places the organism in Eukaryota, Metazoa, Chordata, Aves, Psittaciformes, Psittacidae.
AAGCUAGUAGGUGGCAAAUUGGUUUUUGAAGCCUCAAGAGCAUUUCCCCUGUAAGGCUGAAUGUAGUUGAAAAUAACAGCAUGGCUUGAUGUCAUGGGGGGUGUAGGGAGGAGGUGGAAAACAUCUACCUUAGAGGCAGUUUCCAAGUGAAUUGUUUGUUCUUUUCCAUCUGUCUUCAGGGACUCUUCAGCAUAGUUCCUAAAAGUGAAAGCAGAGUCAGCCCUAAUGACUCGCUGCCUACCAUAAAGGCUUACAGAGUGCUGCUGUUCCAGAUACAACUACAACUGCACCCUGAAGUACAGUCUACUUCUGUAACAGCUCUUUGUGAGCAAGCCCAACUGUUCCUGAGCCAAACAUACCUAAGGGGUCGGUACUUGGUGCUUCUUUGAGGAUCCAGUUGAUGUAGGCACGUUCCAAAGACAUGUUUAUGCACAGAUGGACUAAACAGUUCACUGUUAAAUCUACAGUUUGUUGAGAUAUGCUAUAACUACCUCCUUCUGGAUGACCAAUGUGUAUUUUAACUGAUUGUAUCGGAAACUAAGUCUCCGACUUCCCAUUCAUUCCAGCUGGUAGCAACGCUUAUAAUGCAAAAAAAUCACAAUUCAGGAUCCCAGAAACAUUACUCUUAAAACUUUCUAGAUGAUUGUAGUUGCUUUGGUUGUGUUCUAUGCUAGCAGAAGCCUUUUUCAAGGUUUACUAUUGACUCUAGAGCACCACAUUCCCCAUUUACUGGGAGCCCUCGGGGCUGGCAAUAUGGGAAACUCAUGUGUUUGCCGUGAUGACAGUGGAGCAGAAGACAACGUGGAAUCUCGGAGUCGGCAAACGGAGAACAGUAGAGUACAUGUACCUGAAGCAAGAAGCCACGCAAGGGACUCUGUCCGUCCACCCAGAAGGGGUCGAGGGCCUCAUGAACCAAGAAGGAAAAAACAGAAUGUGGAUGGGCUAGUACUUGACACACUGGCUGUAAUUCGGACGUUAGUAGAUAAUGACCAGGAGCCUCCUUAUUCAAUGAUCACAUUGCAUGAAAUGGCAGAAACAGGAAAACACAUUUUCUUUAGACCACCAGGCAUGGGACAAGCUAAUGCAGUUCCUCAGAGGCCCAUGUCUUCCCCCUUGAGGGAACGUGGGAAGAGUCCUCCAAUUCUUGCUAGAAGAAAUACUUCCUCAGUGUCAUCAUGGAUGCAGCAUUUAACACAUGAAGGCUGGUUGGAAGUUGUCCAAUCUUUAAUUAGAGUUAUUCCAUUAGAAGAUCCCCUGGGACCAGCUGUUAUAACGCUGCUACUUGAUGAAUGUCCGCUGCCAACAAAAGAUGCAUUACAGAAGUUAACUGAAAUAUUAAACUUAAGUGGAGCUGCUGCUUGCCAGGAUGCUUGUCACCCUGCCAGACACCGGAAUACAACAGCCGUGCUGGGCUGCUUAGCAGAGAAGUUAGCAGGUCCUGCAAGUAUAGGCUUACUCAGCCCAGGCAUAUUGGAAUAUUUACUUCAGAGCCUGAACUUCCAGUCCCAUCCGACAGUGAUGCUUUUUGCACUAAUAGCACUGGAGAAGUUUGCACAAACAAGUGAAAAUAAAAUGACAGUUUCUCAAUCGUGUAUUAGCGACCAGCUGAUCCUGCUCGAGAAAUGGGCAGAUAAUCCAGACUAUUUAAAACGCCAGGUUGGGUUCUGCGCCCAGUGGAGUUUAGACAAUCUGUUUUUAAAAGAAGGCAGGCAGUUCACAUAUGAGAAGGUUGACUUGACCGACAUUAGGGCUAUGCUGAACAGUAAUGAUGUCAGUGAAUACCUGAAGAUCUCUCCACAUGGAUUAGAGGCUCGAUGUGAUGCCUCAUCCUUUGAAAGUGUUAGAUGUACAUUCUGCGUCGAUUCUGGAGUUUGGUACUAUGAAGUUACAGUUAUUACUUCAGGAGUGAUGCAGAUAGGAUGGGCUACCAGAGACAGCAAAUUUCUUAAUCAUGAAGGUUAUGGCAUUGGGGAUGAUGAAUACUCCUGUGCCUAUGAUGGCUGCCGGCAGCUGAUUUGGUAUAAUGCCAGAAGUAAACCACAUUCCCAUCCCUGUUGGAAAGAAGGAGACACAAUAGGAUUUCUACUAGACUUGCACGAAAAGCAAAUGAUCUUCUAUUUAAAUGGAAACCAGCUUCCUGCUGAGAAGCAAGUAUUUUCAUCUGCUAUGUAAGUAUGUGCUCACUUGGAAGGACAGUGACCUGCACGAUAAUUGUUUUAAUUACACGAAGUGUUUCUGAUGUCACAUGCAUAUUCAUAUUUGCUUACUUGAAGCCAUCAUUAAGCAGGUUUCCCAAUUGAAAGUGGCUUAGAAAUCAGUGAGAAGGGUAUAAUUUUACAGGUGGCUGUGAAGAAAAGACGGCUGCCCUGAGGUAAUCCUGCAAGGGCAAGGAGGAGCAGAUGGGCAUUGUGCUAAGAGUGCUCAGACCUGGAUUCAUCCUGUACAAGACCCACACAAGCGUAUGAGCAUUGCAAGCUUUCCAGGUUCCUGCCUGCUCAAAUAAAGCAGAGGGAGCAGUGGAUAUGGAGGUGUCCCUUGUGGCUGGUACUGCCUCUCACAGCUCUGCUAAACAGCAGUUGUUUGGAAGAAAAAUACUUUUUUCCAGUGCUGAAGGAGAUAUCUGAGCUGAUCAGUGUAAAGAGGAUCGGGCUGUAGGCUGUUCGGAUGGAUGUAUCUGCUCUUAGUGUAAGUGUGACUAAUCCUAACUGUAGAGUAGGCAGCCUUUAUUGGCUCACUCAAGAGUAAAUUCAGCUAAACUCUGAUAGUAAAUUCAGAAGCCGAGAACUAAAUAAGGUAAACAUGUGCAGCUGUAAUUGGGUGCGUUAGAGGCUUUUCUUGCAAUUAGCUGUAGAACUUCUAUUGAAGGAACUUGUGUCUCUGUUUCAGGGUAUAUUUUUGUCUGGUAAUAGUAGUAACAUGUCUGGAAAGCUCUCCUAUUGUUUGUUAUUCUAAAAUGUCUGUUCCUCAUAUUGCAGAUCUGGCUUUUUUGCUGCAGCUAGUUUCAUGUCCUAUCAACAAUGUGAGUUCAACUUUGGGGCAAAACCUUUCAAGUACCCACCAUCAAUGAAGUUUAGUACCUUUAAUGAUUAUGCCUUUCUGACAGCAGAAGAGAAGAUCAUUUUGCCCAGACACAGGCGCCUGGCUUUGUUGAAGCAAGUGAGUAUCCGAGAGAAUUGCUGCACACUUUGCUGCGAUGAGGUAGCAGACACAGAACUCAGGCCGUGUGGACACAGUGACCUGUGUAUGGAGUGUGCCUUGCAGCUGGAGACCUGCCCUUUGUGUCGACAGGAGAUACAAACCCGAGUCAGACAGAUCUCUCACAUUUCAUGACACGUGGAGAAAUACCGCAGACUUGUUUUCAAUGAAUUCAAACCAAUGCUGAAAGGGGAAAGAAUCUCUGACCAAUCUUUACGCACAUAAAACCAUAGCCACGGCCAGAUUUCAUGCUAACCUGUUAUCUCUUAAUCUUACAAACGAAAUCUUCAAUAAGCUAUUUCAAGUUGCCAGCAAUGGGAACUGGUUUCAAGAAUAAGAAGAGCUGGUAGGUCAGUGUGCUAUGGCUGUUGGUUCCUCCAAGCAAGACCAUAGGAGAGUGUCUCUCUUCUUCCCCCUUUCCUUCUCGCCUGUCGCAAGUGCUGAAAAAAUUUGCACUGGAAGUACACGUACAAUGCAUUUUAGAAAAGAAAAGAAGAGCAAAUAAGUAUCUCCUAAACCAGGGCUGUUCUGUCUUGUGCUCGAAAGGCUCUAUUUUUGGCAGAAGUCAGUACUAAAAAGAGAAUGCCAAUGUUUUCCUGUUCAAUGUAGCCUCCUGCUGGUCAGAGACUCUGUAUUUUCCGACAGUGGAUAUUAAACUGCUCAAAGACUUAAUCCAUACACAGGCUGAUUUGAAAAGACAGUGUGGAGACCAGAGAGAAACUCACGUUUUAAUAACCUGGUGAUUCCAAAGAAUGUUCUCAUUGUCUUUAAAUGUUAAAAGAUUGUUGGUAUUUUCAAGUUUCUGAUGCUUUUAACUUCAGUACCCACAUUUUUUUGUGAGGAUAUAAUUUUCAGGAGGUAUUCUUAACUAAUUGUAACAUUGGACUGGAAUUAAUUUGAUAUUCUGGGUAUUUUUAAGGUAUCAUCAAACGUCUUUUUUUAUCAGUGUUGGUUUUGAAAGUUAUAUUCACUUUAGAAAUAUUGAGCUAUCUUAAAAGAUUGGAGGAUAAUUUGGGGCCAGUUUAUUUUAAGAAGUGUUAUUUGGACAGGAAGUUGGGUCUUACUCUGUAACUCUUUAAAAAUGCACCUUGCUUGCCACGUGUCAGCCCUGCUCUGAGCACAUUUGGGGCCACACUUGAUGGUUUUGGUAGGGAUCACCCAGUGGGAAUCUCUGCUCCACUUCAGUUACACACCUGUGACCUUUAUAUGUUAAGGAUGCAUUUCAGCAGGCAGCUCUUGAAUGUUUUACUAGGUUCCUAGAAGGAAUUAGGGUUCAUAGCUGGUGUCAGUGAAGUAGCGCAAAACUCGGUGGAGUUAUGCUUCUUGGCAGUGAUUCAACAGCAGAGUAUGUUGCAGUGAAUUCUCAUGCUGCGAUGUAUCUUAUCUUUAAAAUAACUUAUCUUUAUUGUACUGUCAAGUAGUAACACAGUAGAGCUGAGGCUGCUUCUUCCUGCUCAGCACUCUUGAUUCCUACUAACCUAAAUAGGAGCAAAGAGGUCUGCACGCAGGUCCCGGAAUCAAGCUCUCUAAAGGUAGCUGUUUCACCUGCUGCCUUCGCUAAUGCAAGGGUGCUGAAUUUCAUCCAGAGAUACACAUUAGGGAAAAAAAAAAGGGGGGGAGGGGGGAGGAAGUGUUUCUCUUGAACCUCUGGAGUACAAUGUGUGAAAUUAGGACAGUUCUGUCCAUCAUUUUUUCUUUACUUUUUUCUAAAUACAGACUGAAUCCAAGACUGGAGAGCUGGUUAGUCUUUUUGCUAAAAUGAGAAUUCUCUUCUGCCUUGAAUGCCUGUUUUGAUUAGUCAGACUGGCAAAUCUGUGCUGCAGGGACCUUCUUUCCUUGCUGUGACUGUACUUUACGAGGUUUUGCUGUAAUCCAUGUUACUGGUCAGGGCCAAGUCUCUCCCUGCUCGCUGCUCAAUGGGCAAAUGUUAACACCAUCACUGCCAUGAGGAUGUUAGGAUUUCAGAACCACUUGAAAUGAAGUUUUUCAAUGCUUCCAAAUGCAAUGAUAGGUUUUUACCCUAGAAACCAUACUUUAGGGAAGAAGUGGGACAGACCCAUUUUGAACUCUGCCUUAAUUAAGAUUUUAGGAACUUCAGGGCUUUGGUUUCCCUGGCCAGGAUUAACUGAGGUAAAAUUUUCAGAAGCACAGAAGUGCCUAGGACUCCACAUUCCCAUCAACUGAUGUAUGAGAUUAAGCAUUUAAGGCUCAGGUCCACAAUGGCUUCAAGGUGUCUGGUGUCCCUUUGAACAGGAGGUGACUGAAGAGCCUCGCUGCCUCUGUGGACACGGGACUAAGUGCCUGCGUUCUUUGUUGGAAAGAUGUGAAUGCUUUGAAAAUUUUGCCCCAGAUUGUCUUCCAUGUAGCUGGUGCUGUGCAGAGAAAGCCAGCAGAGAUGGAGGAGAAAGCUGUGUCCUAGAGAACUGUCCUGUUCAUUUCACAAACGGAAAGAUUGCACCACUCCGGCUGGCUUUUUGCUGGAAUUCACGAUGGGGAUGUCUUUGUAAAGCUUGAUCGUCCACCACUGCUGCACUGUCCCCCUCAGUGCCUGCACUCUCCAAAGGCUCUGGGACUGGGGAGGGGAGGCAGUGGCUCCACAGGCCCUCAGGAAGGGAAAGAAAUUGUAGUGAAGUCGUCCAUUCAACAAUAAAGUCUUUGAAAGCCA